RNAcentral lists this small RNA (125 nucleotides) under Marmota monax (woodchuck). Lineage: Eukaryota; Metazoa; Chordata; Mammalia; Rodentia; Sciuridae. The record is from RNAcentral.
GCCAGAUGCCGUGGCGCUCACCUGUAAUCCCAGCAGCCCGGGAGGCUGAGACAGGAGGAUCAUGAGUUGAAAGCCAGCCUCAGCAAAAGCGAGACUCUAAGUAACUCAGUGAGACCCUGUCUCUA